This 444-nucleotide long non-coding RNA is filed under the name Mytilus galloprovincialis (Mediterranean mussel). Lineage: Eukaryota; Metazoa; Mollusca; Bivalvia; Mytilida; Mytilidae. The record is from RNAcentral.
AUGCAAGCUAUACUUUAUUGUAGUUCACUAUAGCUCGGGCAAAAAUAAUCAAGAUGAUAUUACCUACCCAUGUUCAAACUACAAUAACGUAUAGCUUGCAUCAAUUAUUUCUUCAAUAAUUUCCCAUAAUUACUGUAUAUUGAUGGUUUUUCUUUUAAACGAAUCGCCCACAGAUUUCCCAGUUAACCCCAAAACAUCUAGGACAUAACCUUUCUUAGUGGGAUACUUUAAAACGCCCGUCUGUCCCUUGUUACCAACAAUUAGAGCAUCUUGUAUAAAUUCGUAAAAUUUUGGAACCCAUGCAGCUAUUACUCCAUCGAAACACAGUGUCACAGUACGAUUGAACCUAGUCUCCCUGGUAAUGAUAAUGCAAAAGGAGGAAAUGCAUAACAGUUAAACAUUUUAAGUUAGUUAAACGUGUUGUUUAAAGUCAUAAGAAACCAC